GAUGAACGCUGGCGGCGUGCCUAAUACAUGCAAGUCGAGCGAACGGACGAGAAGCUUGCUUCUCUGAUGUUAGCGGCGGACGGGUGAGUAAAACGUGGAUAACCUACCUAUAAGACUGGGAUAACUUCGGGAAACCGGAGCUAAUACCGGAUAAUAUUUUGAACCGCAUGGUUCAAAAGUGAAAGACGGUCUUGCUGUCACUUAUAGAUGGAUCCGCGCUGCAUUAGCUAGUUGGUAAGGUAACGGCUUACCAAGGCAACGAUGCAUAGCCGACCUGAGAGGGUGAUCGGCCACACUGGAACUGAGACACGGUCCAGACUCCUACGGGAGGCAGCAGUAGGGAAUCUUCGGCAAUGGGCGAAAGCCUGACGGAGCAACGCAGCGUGAGUGAUGAAGGUCUUCGGAUCGUAAAACUCUGUUAUUAGGGAAGAACAUAUGUGUAAGUAACUGUGCACAUCUUGACGGUACCUAAUCAGAAAGCCACGGCUAACUACGUG
This 497-nucleotide ribosomal RNA is filed under the name uncultured bacterium. Its description in RNAcentral is "partial 16S ribosomal RNA". It matches the Rfam family "Bacterial small subunit ribosomal RNA", at positions 28 to 507 of the family's 1533-position model. The record is from RNAcentral.